CCUACGUGCGGCAGCAGUGAGGAAUAUUGGUCAAUGGACGAGAGUCUGAACCAGCCAAGUAGCGUGAAGGAUGACUGCCCUAUGGGUUGUACACUUCUUUUAUAUGGGAAUAAAAUGUUCCACGUGUGGGUUUUUGUAUGUACCAUAUGAAUAAGGAUCGGCUAACUCCGUGCCAGCAGCCGCGGUAAUACGGAGGAUCCGCGCGUUAUCCGGAUUUAUUGGGUUUAAAGGGAGCGUAGGUGGAUUGUUAAGUCAGUUGUGAAAGUUUGCGGCUCAACCGUAAAAUUGCAGUUGAAACUGGCAGUCUUGAGUACAGUAGAGGUGGGCGGAAUUCGUGGUGUAGCGGUGAAAUGCUUAGAUAUCACGAAGAACUCCGAUUGCGAAGGCAGCUCACUGGACUGCAACUGACACUGAGGCUCGAAAGUGUGGGUAUCAAACAGGAUUAGAUACCCCAGUAGUC
Molecule: ribosomal RNA, 460 nt
Filed under: uncultured bacterium
Lineage: Bacteria
Description: partial 16S ribosomal RNA
Rfam family: Bacterial small subunit ribosomal RNA
Source: RNAcentral